RNAcentral lists this small RNA (984 nucleotides) under Pongo abelii (Sumatran orangutan). RNAcentral describes it as "retained intron". The record is from RNAcentral. Lineage: Eukaryota; Metazoa; Chordata; Mammalia; Primates; Hominidae.
GCGCCUCUUUGGCAGCUGGUCACAUGGUGAGGGUGGGGGUGAGGGGGCCUCUCUAGCUUGCGGCCUGUGUCUAUGGUCGGGCCCUCUGCGUCCAGCUGCUCCGGACCGAGCUCAGGUGUAUGGGGCCGUAGGAACCGGCUCCGGGGCCCCGAUAACGGGCCGCCCCCGCAGCACCCCGGCCUGGCGUGAGGGUCUCCCUUGAUCUGAGAAUGGCUACCUCUCGAUAUGAGCCAGUGGCUGAAAUUGGUGUCGGUGCCUAUGGGACAGUGUACAAGGCCCGUGAUCCCCACAGUGGCCACUUUGUGGCCCUCAAGAGUGUGAGAGUCCCCAAUGGAGGAGGAGCUGGAGGAGGCCUUCCCAUCAGCACAGUUCGUGAGGUGGCUUUACUGAGGCGACUGGAGGCUUUUGAGCAUCCCAAUGUUGUCCGGUGAGAAGGUGGUGGAGGGUUGGGCGUGGGGAGUAAAGGGAAAAUACAGCCUAUAGGUGGGGUGUGAUGAUCUGUAAAGAAGUGGGGACCCUGAGGAAAUAAUGAGAGGCCAUGUUGGGUUAAAGGGGAUUGAAAAGUGAGCAUUUACUCUGGUCAGGCUGAUGGACGUCUGUGCCACAUCCCGAACUGACCGGGAGAUCAAGGUAACCCUGGUGUUUGAGCAUGUAGACCAGGACCUAAGGACGUAUCUGGACAAGGCACCCCCACCAGGCUUGCCAGCCGAAACCAUCAAGGAUCUGAUGCGCCAGUUUCUAAGAGGCCUAGAUUUCCUUCAUGCCAAUUGCAUCGUUCACCGAGAUCUGAAGCCAGAGAACAUUCUGGUGACAAGUGGUGGAACAGUCAAGCUGGCUGACUUUGGCCUGGCCAGAAUCUACAGCUACCAGAUGGCACUUACACCCGUGGUCAGUAGAAAGAUGGUACCAAAAUGGGUUCUGGUUGGGAGUAGGAGAGUGAUUGCCCGUAGCAAUUGAGAAGUCAUGUGCUUCAAGUGUUCAGUC